Molecule: ribosomal RNA, 301 nt
Filed under: uncultured bacterium
Lineage: Bacteria
Description: partial 16S ribosomal RNA
Rfam family: Bacterial small subunit ribosomal RNA
Source: RNAcentral
CAGUCGCCGCGGUAAGACAGAGGAUGCAAGCGUUAUCCGGAAUGAUUGGGCGUAAAGCGUCUGUAGGUGGCUUUUCAAGUCCGCCGUCAAAUCCCAGGGCUCAACCCUGGACAGGCGGUGGAAACUACCAAGCUGGAGUACGGUAGGGGCAGAGGGAAUUUCCGGUGGAGCGGUGAAAUGCGUAGAGAUGUGAAAGAACACCAACGGCGAAAGCACUCUGCUGGGCCGACACUGACACUGAGAGACGAAAGCUAGGGGAGCAAAUGGGAUUAGAUACCCGCGUAGUCCCUGUCUCUUAUAA